UAAAUUCCCCUGCAGACACAGCUGCUUUUGAAUAUCCCAAUUUCUCAGAGUCUCACUCCAGCUUCCAGUCUGGGCCUCAGGUGGUCUAUUGUAUGUCUCUACUCAUAAUCUUUCACCCCAGGCAUCGCACCAGGGAAGGAACUGGAAACGAGGCUGGUUGCUGCUGCUUCAAGACUGAUACAGCCACCACACUGGGAAGAAGGUGGGACCAGGACGCUUCUAGCGACAUCGCCUGCACCAGCUCAUGCCCUUCGCACGGCAGCAGUGGAGCAGCACCUGGUUCUGUUUUCACUUGAGAGGUGGGUGAGGAGACGGAGACCCGGAGAAGGCGGGUGACUUGCCCCGGGCCACAGCGGAGGAGCCCACGCUCCCUGACCGCUGAGUCUGCGGUGACCAGAUCCCGCAGAAUGUACAAGACGAAAGGCAGCAGCCAACCUGCCGCAGAGAGACCUCACACAACGCAGAGGUUGGGCCCCGCCUCCUCCUGCGAGGCCAAGGCUGUCUCGGUCUGGUAAACACGGGCAGUCGCAGGGCAUGGCAUCUGCAGGGCAGAGACCCUGAGCCAGUGUCAGUCUUAGGUUAUUACAGCUGUCCAGGGGUUUACAGUUAAGAAACAUUUUUUUUUUUUUAGGAAUAUAAAAAUAUUUAUUGACCGCUGUUCACCAGUAUUUACAAUAAACAGUAUACAGUUGGAUACCAUUCUGAUUACUACAAGGCUGUUCUUCCUGGCUUCUGCAGAACCAGCAACCCAAAUACUGAAAAGAUUGAGCCUACAUGUAAGAAAUGAAUUGGGGUAAGAAAAAACAUGCAGGUCAAUAGUUUAGAUUACAAAAAGUUUGUUCACUCAUUUAUGUCAGCAGGUCUGAAACUGCCAA
Molecule: long non-coding RNA, 875 nt
Organism: Lemur catta (Ring-tailed lemur)
Lineage: Eukaryota; Metazoa; Chordata; Mammalia; Primates; Lemuridae
Exons: 4
Source: RefSeq, a predicted model, not a curated record